Molecule: unclassified non-coding RNA, 159 nt
Filed under: uncultured Ascomycota
Lineage: Eukaryota; Fungi; Ascomycota
Description: sequence contains ITS1
Source: RNAcentral
CCGAGUUUACAACUCCCUAACCCACUGUGAACCUACCCAAGUUGCUUCGGCGGGGAGCCCCGGGUGCCGCGAGCCCCGGAGCCAGGCCCCCGCCGAGGGCCCCAAACUCUCUGUAUUUUAUAGCGGUGUCAUUCUGAGUCUAUUGCGGGAAUUGGAUCA